This 69-nucleotide transfer RNA is filed under the name Scolytinae sp. BMNH 1039896. RNAcentral describes it as "tRNA-His". Lineage: Eukaryota; Metazoa; Arthropoda; Insecta; Coleoptera; Curculionidae. The record is from RNAcentral.
GCUAAUGUAAUUUAAAUUAGAAUAUUAAUUUGUGGAAUUAAUUGUGCGGGACGACAUCUGCCUUUAGCA